GGGAAAGUAGCUCUGUGCUAGAGUGCUUGCCUGGCACGCACAAGUCCCUGGGUUCAACCCCUAGCACUGCCA
Molecule: transfer RNA, 72 nt
Filed under: Cavia porcellus (domestic guinea pig)
Lineage: Eukaryota; Metazoa; Chordata; Mammalia; Rodentia; Caviidae
Rfam family: tRNA
About the family: Transfer RNA (tRNA) molecules are approximately 80 nucleotides in length. Their secondary structure includes four short double-helical elements and three loops (D, anti-codon, and T loops).
Source: Rfam by way of RNAcentral